GCAUGGCUGUCGUCAGCUCGUGUCGUGAGAUGUUCGGUUAAGUCCGCUAACGAGCGCAACCCUCGCUGUGUGUUACAAGUGUCACACGGAACUGCCGGUCAUAAACCGGAGGAAGGUGGGGAUGACGUCAAGUCAGCAUGGCCUUUAUAUCCUGGGCUACACACACGCUACAAUGGGAAGGGACAAUAGGUUGCGAAGCCGCGAGGCGGAGCUAAUCCAGCAAAACUUCCCUCAGUUCAGAUUGCAGGCUGCAACUCGCCUGCAUGAAGUUGGAGUUGCUAGUAAACGCAGGUCAGCCAUACUGCGUUGAAUACGUUCCCGGGGCUU
Molecule: ribosomal RNA, 327 nt
Filed under: uncultured Anaerolineaceae bacterium
Lineage: Bacteria; Bacillati; Chloroflexota; Anaerolineae; Anaerolineales; Anaerolineaceae
Description: bacterial SSU rRNA
Rfam family: Bacterial small subunit ribosomal RNA
Source: RNAcentral